Molecule: ribosomal RNA, 253 nt
Filed under: uncultured bacterium
Lineage: Bacteria
Description: partial 16S ribosomal RNA
Rfam family: Bacterial small subunit ribosomal RNA
Source: RNAcentral
UACGUAGGGGGCAAGCGUUAUCCGGAUUUACUGGGUGUAAAGGGGGCGCAGACGGCGAUGCAAGCCAGGAGUGAAAGCCCGGGGCCCAACCCCAGGACUGCUCUUGGAACUGCGUGGCUGGAGUGCAGGAGGGGCAGGCGGAAUUCCUGGUGUAGCGGUGAAAUGCGUAGAUAUCAGGAGGAACACCGGUGGCGAAGGCGGCCUGCUGGACUGCAACUGUCGUUGAGGCCCGAAAGCGUGGGGAGCAAACAGG